RNAcentral lists this ribosomal RNA (497 nucleotides) under uncultured bacterium. RNAcentral's name for it is "partial 16S ribosomal RNA". It matches the Rfam family "Bacterial small subunit ribosomal RNA", at positions 28 to 507 of the family's 1533-position model. The record is from RNAcentral.
GAUGAACGCUGGCGGCGUGCCUAAUACAUGCAAGUCGAGCGAACGGACGAGAAGCUUGCUUUUCUGAUAUUAGCGGCGGACGGGUGAGUAACACGUGGAUAACCUACCUAUAAGACUGGGAUAACUUCGGGAAACCGGAGCUAAUACCGGAUAAUAUUCUGAACCGCAUGGUUCAAAAGUGAAAGACGGUCUUGCUGUCACUUAUAGAUGGAUCCGCGCUGCGUUAGCUAGUUGGUAAGGUAACGGCUUACCAAGGCAACGAUGCAUAGCCGACCUGAGAGGGUGAUCGGCCACACUGGAACUGAGACACGGUCCAGACUCCUACGGGAGGCAGCAGUAGGGAAUCUUCCGCAAUGGGCGAAAGCCUGACGGAGCAACGCCGCGUGAGUGAUGAAGGUCUUCGGAUCGUAAAACUCUGUUAUUAGGGAAGAACAUAUGUGUAAGUAACUGUGCACAUCUUGACGGUACCUAAUCAGAAAGCCACGGCUAACUACGUG